This is a long non-coding RNA of Thunnus maccoyii (southern bluefin tuna), 413 nucleotides long. RefSeq lists it as uncharacterized. The record is from RefSeq and is a predicted model, not a curated record. The transcript is spliced from 3 exons. NCBI's taxonomy places the organism in Eukaryota, Metazoa, Chordata, Actinopteri, Scombriformes, Scombridae.
GAAGCUGUGGUGUAAAAGAACAAACAGAAACAGACUUCAGGAGAACAAAAUGAAGAUUUAAUAACUUAAAUCAAGAUAUUUAACAUUUAAUUUAAAUAGAACAUCAUCAUUCUGCAACACUGAAUAUUAAACUGUUUCACUCAGAGGGUUAAACUCUUCUGUAAACAAUUAAUUACAUUCAAAAAUCUCUUCAUCAGUCAGUGAUGAUGGGCAGACAGGUGAGGUCAGGUGAGGUCAGGUAAGGACAGGUGAGGACGGGUGAGAUCAGGUGAGGUCGGGUGAGGUCAGGUGAGGUCAGUCAGUGUUGAUGUGCAGACAGGUGAGGUCAGGUGAGGUCAGUCAGUGUUGAUGUGCAGACAGGUGAGGUCAGGUGAGGACAGGUGAGGUGAGACAGGUGAGGUCAGGUGAGGUCA